RNAcentral lists this ribosomal RNA (513 nucleotides) under marine bacterium CS-15. RNAcentral's name for it is "bacterial SSU rRNA". It matches the Rfam family "Bacterial small subunit ribosomal RNA", at positions 35 to 542 of the family's 1533-position model. The record is from RNAcentral.
GCUUCGGCAGCUACCAUGCAGUCGAGGGGUAACAGGAGUGCUUGCACUCGCUGACGACCGGCGCACGGGUGCGUAACGCGUAUAGAACCUACCUUUUACUGAGGGAUAGCCUUUAGAAAUGAAGAUUAAUACCUCAUAGUAUUGUUUUUUGGCAUCGGAAGAUAAUUAAAGAUUUAUUGGUAAAAGAUGGCUAUGCGUCUUAUUAGCUAGAUGGUAAGGUAACGGCUUACCAUGGCAACGAUAAGUAGGGGCCCUGAGAGGGGGAUCCCCCACACUGGUACUGAGACACGGACCAGACUCCUACGGGAGGCAGCAGUGAGGAAUAUUGGUCAAUGGAGGCAACUCUGAACCAGCCAUGCCGCGUGCAGGAAGACUGCCCUAUGGGUUGUAAACUGCUUUUAUACAGGAAGAAUCUUGUCCCUCGUGAGGGGCCUUGACGGAACUGUAAGAAUUAAGCACCGGCUAACUCCGUGCAAACAGCCGCGGUAUUACGGAGGGGUGCAAGCGUUUAUU